CAAUAGCGUAUAUUAAAGUUGUUGCGGUUAAAAAGCUCGUAGUUGGAUUUCUGCUUUGGACGGCGGGUCCGCCCUCCGGGCGUGCAUCUGUUCGACCAAGGCAUCCUCCAGCAGCUUGCGCUGCACUUCAUUGUGUGGCGCGAGGGGCUGGACCUUUACUUUGAGGAAAUUAGAGUGUUUCAAGCAGGCUGAGCCUUGAAUACGCUAGCAUGGAAUAAUAAGAUAGGACCUAAGUUCUAUUUUGUUGGUUUCUAGAGCUUGGGUAAUGAUUAAUAGGGAUAGUUGGGGGCAUUCGUAUUUAACUGUCAGAGGUGAAAUUCUUGGAUUUGUUAAAGACGAACUACUGCGAAAGCAUUUGCCAAGGAUGUUUUCAUUGA
Molecule: ribosomal RNA, 377 nt
Filed under: uncultured eukaryote
Lineage: Eukaryota
Description: partial 18S ribosomal RNA
Rfam family: Eukaryotic small subunit ribosomal RNA
Source: RNAcentral